UUCCCCCAGUAACUGCGAGUGAAGAGGGAAGAGCUCAUCAUUGGAAUCUGGCAGUGUUACACUGUCCGAGUUGUAGAUGAGGAGUAGUCCGUCUGGACUGCAUGGCGUCCAAGUACAAUAGGCCGUCAGUGGGACAUCAUAGAGGGUGACAAUCCCGUCCUUGACGCCAAUGUGCAAGUCUAUUACGAUGGCUAUCUCAGAGAGUCGAGCAGUUUGGGAUUGCUGCUUAAACAUGGGAGGUAGAUUCCUUCUAAAGCUAAAUACAGGCGAGAGACCGAUAGAGAACAAGUACCGCAAGGGAAAGAUGAAAUAGCACUCUGUGAAGGGAGUCAAAAGGCGUGAAAUUGUUGCGAGAGAAGCGAUUCAAGUCAGCGUAGCUAGGCCCAUCAAGCGUCUUCGCUUUGGACUAGCUUUGCCAGCGGUCUUGUCCCUUAAAGAGACUUGACUUGUAAUAUGUCCAGCCUGGCGUGCACAGGCAGCCCCUUCUGGGGGCCAGUGGCAUGGCUGGUGGAAUGGCUUGCAAUCGACCCGUCUUGAAACACGGACCAAGGAGUCUAACAUGUAUGCGAGUAUAAGGGUGGCAAACCCGUAUGCGCAAUGAAAGUGAUUUUCGGUGAUUGAGAAUGGCCUGAUGACCAGACAAGCAAUAUAUGUCCCUCGUACGGCCAUUGCCCAAGUUCCGUGGUAGAUCCCACGAACAUGGAGUUGGAGCAUACAUGCUAGGACCCGAAAGAUGGUGAACUAUGCCUGGACAAAGCGAAGCCAAAGGAAACUCUGGUGGAGGCUUGUAGCGAUUCUGACGUGCAAAUCGAUCGUCUGAUCUGGGUAUAGGGGCGAAAGACU
This 843-nucleotide ribosomal RNA is filed under the name Cantharellus cibarius (golden chanterelle). Its description in RNAcentral is "eukaryotic LSU rRNA". It matches the Rfam family "Eukaryotic large subunit ribosomal RNA", at positions 75 to 932 of the family's 3401-position model. Lineage: Eukaryota; Fungi; Basidiomycota; Agaricomycetes; Cantharellales; Hydnaceae. The record is from RNAcentral.